Molecule: long non-coding RNA, 520 nt
Filed under: Setaria viridis
Lineage: Eukaryota; Viridiplantae; Streptophyta; Magnoliopsida; Poales; Poaceae
Description: long non-coding RNA (SVIR_LNC004427)
Source: RNAcentral
GCUGUGCUCAGCAGUUGCUUUUGCUAGGCUUCUAUAGCAGUUGCUUGCGCGGGCAGCUGAAUGGCCGGGCUGCAGCUGCUGAAAAGCUCAAGCGAGCAUGCCACUAGUCUAGUCCAAAAGAACAACAGUUAUGUCAUAAAAUAUAAUCCUUAAAAAAACUAACGGGGAAAUAGAUGAUACGACGCAAGACCUUGUGUUGAUGUGGCCUCAUUAAAAACUUAAAUGAGAAACCUAGAAGAGAAAAAACUCAUACAAAGAAAAAAACACAACAUGAUGUUGAAACAAGUUAUGGAUCAAAAGAGGAAACUCCCCCCAAUACCUGCAAAUUAGUAAGCAUCUCAUACCGAUCUCUUAAACACAUUUGAAAAUGUGGACUAAGGUAGAGACUAUGUAAAUAGUUUGUAGGAUUAUCACAAUACUUAGAUGGAAAAUAUUAAUUGCCCAAUGAUAAGGAUAAAACAUUUCUUGGGGCUAAAUGCAUAGUAACAUUGGGGCUCACAUAACUCGUAUCCAUCUGAAC